UUGUCAUAUGGAUAGAGAAUAAAGUCAUUUGCUAUGAUUUUAAUGAUAGGGCAUGGAAACCACUUUAUGAUCUAAGACCCGGAGUCACCGAUGGCUCGUGGGAUGGCUAUUAUUAUAGGGGUUUUAUUUUUCCUUAUCAAAGUCUUCAUGCCUUUCAGUACUUUGAGAACCUGUCUUCUGUUUGAGGUUGUAUCUCCAAUUUGGUCCUUUUUUGAUGGAACGGAGGUUCGGAUUUUGUACUUUUACAUGGAAUACCCAGGUAGAGAGAAGAUUUACUUGAAUAUCAGGACAGGAAGGAUCCGAAAUCAUUUUGUUGGUCGAGAUUCAUGCAUAAUCUUAUAGUAUGGUACACGGUUGGUUGCUUUUUCUUUCGAGACCUCAAUCUGGCUUUUCUGUUGAACUUCAGUUUUGGAGUAGUUUUCUUUCCAUGAUACUGUUGUUGAAUAUAUUUUUGAUUAUGGGAAACGUAGCAAUCAAGAAGUAUAGUAUCAUCAUCAUGGAAUAUUACUAUCAAAACUGAAAUAAUUUGAUUCUUUUUUAGUUUUGAUGGUUUGAAAAUGGAACUUGCUAUGGAAGUUCAAUCUCCACGGAAAACUACGUACGAAAUUGUUGUUCAAAGAUUUGGGGUUUCAGUUCUAACCUAAUUUAAACUGUAAAGAAAAAAACAAUGUUGUUGAGAUCGGAUUGGACCAACUGAUUAGAUCAAGAAUCGGUUGGUAUGUCAGCACGAAGAACUGAUGAUGAUUGAGCAAGGGGAAUGGCAAGGGUUUGAAUUUGUCUCAUCUAAAUAUAUUUUUCUGGUAAGGGUC
This is a long non-coding RNA of Gossypium arboreum, 809 nucleotides long. RefSeq lists it as uncharacterized. The record is from RefSeq and is a predicted model, not a curated record. The transcript has 3 exons. NCBI's taxonomy places the organism in Eukaryota, Viridiplantae, Streptophyta, Magnoliopsida, Malvales, Malvaceae.